GCAGGUUUAGAAAUAUUAGCUGGGUCCUGACGACUUUCUCUGUCGAAGCAAGGAGAUCCUCCUCUUCUUCCGCCAUGAUGAAGAAACUGAUGUCCAAAAAAGUGAAAUGAUUUGCCCAGGAUCAUAAAGGCAAAAGAAGAAUGAGUUACCCUAAGCCCUGCUUCUGAGAGUUCCAGGCAGUAUUUGUUCCUUUCUCUUGUUUCCACAUUGAUAUAUGCAACAUCAUCUGAACAAGGCAGGCUUUUGGAGACAAACAUGUUGCUAACAG
Monodelphis domestica (gray short-tailed opossum) is the source of this 268-nucleotide long non-coding RNA. RefSeq lists it as uncharacterized. Lineage: Eukaryota; Metazoa; Chordata; Mammalia; Didelphimorphia; Didelphidae. The record is from RefSeq and is a predicted model, not a curated record.